UGACAAUGUCAAGGAUGUGGCAAUAUUA
This 28-nucleotide non-coding RNA is filed under the name Mus musculus (house mouse). Lineage: Eukaryota; Metazoa; Chordata; Mammalia; Rodentia; Muridae. The record is from RNAcentral.